AUGUGGCAAAAUGUAUUGUGUGCCUGCAGCUAUGAUCUGCGGUACUUGUCAUGUAGUGGUACAAUUUAUAAGCAAGAAAGGAAACCUAGAUUGUUGACAGUUGAACCUAGCAGCUUCAGCAAGUGCGCAAGUCGAAAGGAUUGCAAGUGCAGUGAGUUCAGCAGGUUUGUUUCAACAGUUUGCAACAGCUUGGCUAGAAACAGACAGGAAUCUUCAACUUCUCGUCGAAUCCAUUGA
RNAcentral lists this ribosomal RNA (237 nucleotides) under Triticum aestivum (bread wheat). RNAcentral's name for it is "partial small subunit ribosomal RNA". The record is from RNAcentral. Lineage: Eukaryota; Viridiplantae; Streptophyta; Magnoliopsida; Poales; Poaceae.